CAACUACAUUUUUGUAUCAUAGAAAAAGGGACACAAAAAAGUAAUUUAAAACUGGUCAGCAGUGACGGUUACGAAUACACAAAGAGGUAUAUAUUUUUUUUCAAAAGUAUAGAAUUAAUAUCUCACACCAAACAUAUUUUUAAGCUUUGGCUAAAAAAUAUCCACUUAACAUUGUAAAUGAUAUGAAUUAUGAAAUUAAAGUUAGAUUUUUGAUUUCCUUGAAAUAUUAACGGUUAACUAAGAUAAGUUAACUACUGUACGUGUAUAUUCUUUACUUUUUAGAUGUUUAAAGGCAAUUUCACCUACUGGAGAUGCAUCAAACGAUCAAAAAGCAGUAAUUGUCCCGCUACUGUGUCACAGAAGGGAAUCAAUUUUAAAAUAAAUCCUAAACUCCACAUACAUUGUACACCCAGCAGAUAAGGGGGC
This 426-nucleotide long non-coding RNA is filed under the name Mytilus galloprovincialis (Mediterranean mussel). Lineage: Eukaryota; Metazoa; Mollusca; Bivalvia; Mytilida; Mytilidae. The record is from RNAcentral.